This 346-nucleotide long non-coding RNA is filed under the name Citrus sinensis (sweet orange). RNAcentral's name for it is "long non-coding RNA (CSIN_LNC004036)". The record is from RNAcentral. Lineage: Eukaryota; Viridiplantae; Streptophyta; Magnoliopsida; Sapindales; Rutaceae.
UCUAGUUUGUCCAAAAGUAUAUAAAUUGCCUCUUUUGUUUUCAUUUAAUAUCUUCCAAAAUCCCAAUACUUCAUCAGGGGGAAAAAAAAGAAAAGAAAGAAAGAAAUCUGAAGCAGAACAGUGUUUCCUUUGUUUCUCCAGAAGAGGUCAGCAUGCAUCCUACUCUCUCUUUUUCCCCACUUUCAAUUUGCUUCUCAAGUUUCUUUAAAUUCAUUCCUCAGGGAUGAAAGAUUUUGAUUAUGUUGUUUACAGGAACCCUUUUUUUUUGGGGUUAUUCUAUGCCAUAAGGUAAAUUAAAUGAAGAAGAGAAUUAGUGCACGCAUCCGAAAGUGCCUUGCCCAUGCAG